CCUACGGGGGGCUGCAGUGGGGAAUAUUGGACAAUGGGGGGAACCCUGAUCCAACCAUGCCGCGUGUGUGAAGAAGGCCCUCGGGUUGGAAAGCACUUUCAGUGAGGAAGAACGCCUGGUGGUUAAUACCCAUCAGGAAAGACAUCACUCACAGAAGAAGCACCGGCUAACUCCGUGCCAGCAGCCGCGGUAAUACGGAGGGUGCGAGCGUUAAUCGGAAUUACUGGGCGUAAAGCGCGCGUAGGUGGCUUGAUAAGCCGGUUGUGAAAGCCCCGGGCUCAACCUGGGAACGGCAUCCGGAACUGUCAAGCUAGAGUGCAGGAGAGGAAGGUAGAAUUCCCGGUGUAGCGGUGAAAUGCGUAGAGAUCGGGAGGAAUACCAGUGGCGAAGGCGGCCUUCUGGACUGACACUGACACUGAGGUGCGAAAGCGUGGGUAGCAAACAGGAUUAGAUACCCUUGUAGUC
This 465-nucleotide ribosomal RNA is filed under the name Vreelandella stevensii. Its description in RNAcentral is "partial 16S ribosomal RNA". It matches the Rfam family "Bacterial small subunit ribosomal RNA", at positions 338 to 795 of the family's 1533-position model. The record is from RNAcentral. Lineage: Bacteria; Pseudomonadati; Pseudomonadota; Gammaproteobacteria; Oceanospirillales; Halomonadaceae.